Long non-coding RNA from Oryza brachyantha (malo sina), 1538 nucleotides. RefSeq lists it as uncharacterized. NCBI's taxonomy places the organism in Eukaryota, Viridiplantae, Streptophyta, Magnoliopsida, Poales, Poaceae. The record is from RefSeq and is a predicted model, not a curated record. The transcript is spliced from 3 exons.
AGAGUACGGUUCAGAUGGAGGUGACUUUGAGGUUUGAUGCUUGUUCGCCGGUGAGGUGCUGCCUGUGGUUUGGAGCCAAGCUACGCUGGAGCCCAAAGCCCUUAUUUAUUUUUUGAUGCAUGUCGUUAAACGUUAGUUAUCAUUUAUUGAUGUUUUUAAGAACAAUGGUGAUGUAAUCAACUUUAUCUAUUGGUGUAUCCCGGCUGGUCCUAGACAGGGAUUUUUAUAUAGAAUAAAGUUUGGAAAUUCGUGUAAGGAAUUUCUGGGCAUGACAGUAAUAAGAGAAUAGUUUCCAAUAGGCUUUCGCAUUUUGUGCUGAUAGUGAUAUUUAAAAUUUUGUAAGAUCAAGGGGUGAUCUAUAUGUUUUAAUGAUGAACAAUUGGUGACUUAUGUUUUUGAAUAAGUGUUUUGUGAUAAGUUGACCAGGCGGUCAGACUGCAAGUAUACGAGCGAUCAGAUCUUUGGGACACUUGUGGUCAAACCGCAGGUAUCUUUUGAGGCCUCAGAAGGUUGUUGCCGCUGAUGGAUCAGAGUCGGCUAGCUAGGAAGUAGUUGAUGUCCAGGGAUACUAAAGGUAGAGGAUAAUGCAUGCGGAGAUUAAGCUUCCAUAUAGCAUACGAGAGGGAUCGUGUGCAUAUGGAUAAUGUGAAGUUGAAUUUGGAAAGGAGUCCGGAUAUGAGAAGAUUGGUUGCAUUAGAGAUAAGCAUAUGUUGGUUAUGGAUAAGAAAAGAUUUCCCACAGGAUUGAGAGUCCUAAUUCAUACUAGAAUAUGUGAGCUUUGCACAAUCACAUUGCGGUUAUAAAUAGUUAACGAGAGGAUCCCGACGAUCCAACCGCAGACAAGGGGACAAUCUGACUGGAUGUAUACAAGCAGUCUGACCAGCUAGACGACAACGGUCUGACCGGCGGUAUAAGCGCAGUGCGACCGACAGCUUCGUGAAGGCUUUUAGUGGAGGUAAUCUUUUAUUAUGGAAAAGAUUUUUUGGACUUUGGUUUUUCUUACCAUUCACCUCCUCUGGUAGGUUUGUUUGGUCUUGUUCGAUCAUACAAAUUUAUGUUCACAAAUUAUUUUUUUGUUUGUAAUUAUGUCGUCAAUCACCCCAAUAUCAGUUGCAUAUACUGGAGAGCGUUGAAUACUGAUUAUGAGGUUAAUUGUUGCAAAUGUACCAUGAAAAAGUUGGAUGCAGAGUCAUUUGCCCUGAAAAGUGGUGCCAUCUAAACCGUGGCCUUGCACGAAUUGUUUGGUUGGACUUGGAUGGAGGCUGUCUAAUAAUCCUAAUGCAGUGGUCGUAUGGAGAUCAUGGAAUGAAAUGUAGGGUAUGAAGGUAAUGGCAUGCAUAAGGUUCGUUCUUAAUUGCUUUGUAUACAUUUAGAUGGGACAAAAGAUAAGCUGCAAAUGAGAAACUCAAGUAUUGAAAACAGCAUCGGUUCUUAUUUGUUCCUUUUUCCAUUCCAAAAUAUAAACAUUUAUGACAUUUGAAUCAUGUACUAAAAUAUUGUUGACACCAUUUUUAGUAUCACUUAUCUUAUCAUCACGU